This 496-nucleotide ribosomal RNA is filed under the name uncultured bacterium. RNAcentral describes it as "partial 16S ribosomal RNA". It matches the Rfam family "Bacterial small subunit ribosomal RNA", at positions 29 to 507 of the family's 1533-position model. The record is from RNAcentral.
AUGCACGCUGGCGGCGUGCCUCAUACAUGCAAGUCGCGCGAACGGACGAGAAGCUUGCUUCUCUGAUGUUAGCGGCGGACGGGUGAGUAACACGUGGAUAACCUACCUAUAAGACUGGGAUAACUUCGGGAAACCGGAGCUAAUACCGGAUAAUAUUUUGAACCGCAUGGUUCAAAAGUGAAAGACGGUCUUGCCGUCACUUAUAGAUGGAUCCGCGCUGCAUUAGCUAGUUGGUAAGGUAACGGCUUACCAAGGCAACGAUGCAUAGCCGACCUGAGAGGGUGAUCGGCCACACUGGAACUGAGACACGGUCCAGACUCCUACGGGAGGCAGCAGUAGGGAAUCUUCCGCAAUGGGCGAAAGCCUGACGGAGCAACGCCGCGUGAGUGAUGAAGGUCUUCGGAUCGUAAAACUCUGUUAUUAGGGAAGAACAUAUGUGUAAGUAACUGUGCACAUCUUGACGGUACCUAAUCAGAAAGCCACGGCUAACUACGUG